This 311-nucleotide ribosomal RNA is filed under the name Rhipicephalus sanguineus (brown dog tick). Its description in RNAcentral is "partial large subunit ribosomal RNA". The record is from RNAcentral. Lineage: Eukaryota; Metazoa; Arthropoda; Arachnida; Ixodida; Ixodidae.
UGCUCAAUGAUUUUUUAAAUUGCUGUAGUAUUUUGACUAUACAAAGGUAUUGAAAUAAGAUUUUAAUUGAAUGCUAAGAGAAUGGAAGUCCAGAAAAAAACUUUUUUUAAAUUAAAAAUUGAAGUUUUUUUAAUUUGUGCAGAAACAAUUAUUUAUAUUAAAGACAAGAAGACCCUAUGAAUUUAUUAAAUUUUUAUUUAAUAUGUAAUUACUAUUAUAAAAAUUUUGGCUGGGGCGGCUAGAAAAUAUUAUGAACUUUUUAAAAAUAAAAUGAUCCAUUAUUAAUGAUUUUAUGUUAAAUACUCUAGGGA